RNAcentral lists this ribosomal RNA (856 nucleotides) under Gammarus sp. 13 ZH-2022a. RNAcentral describes it as "partial 16S ribosomal RNA". The stretch from base 564 to 856 matches the Rfam family "Bacterial large subunit ribosomal RNA", at positions 2046 to 2589 of the family's 2925-position model. The record is from RNAcentral. Lineage: Eukaryota; Metazoa; Arthropoda; Malacostraca; Amphipoda; Gammaridae.
AAAAAGAGCAAGAAGUUUUUAAAAACGUACCUUUUGUAUCAGGGGAGUUUAAAAGUUUAGUUAAAAGUGGAUCGAUUUAAGCAGAACUUUGCAUAAAAGAGCUGUAGUUAGAUUUAUAGUUUUAACGUGGUAGGAGGUAAAAAAUUUACGGUGCUUAUGGUAUCUAUUUGUUUUUUUGUUGAAAGGUAAGUUUUCAAGGGUUUAAUUAGAUAAAACUGAUGAGGAAUUAGGCUUUAUAUCAGCCAGAUUAUUAAAUUGUUUUAAAUAACUAAAAAAAAAAAAGAGAAAAUUAAAAUUUAAAGACUCAGUCUAGAGGCAAAGAUAGACUUAAAUAAUGAGCUUAUUGAAUAUAUAGCGGAGCCCUAAAAUAACUCAUGAUGGGUUAGAAUGUUUAGCAAAAACAUUUUCUUUUGCGGUAAAAAAGAUAAGACCUGCCCGGUGAUUUUUAACGGCUGCGGUAUUUUGACUGUGCUAAGGUAGCAUAAUCACUUGUUACUUAAUUGGUGACUGGAAUGAAAGGUUAAACUAAGUUAUUUAGUUUGUGGGGCUAGUUAGAAUAUUAAAGUCAAGGUAACAAUUCUUUGAUGUACUAGGGGACGAUAAGACCCUAGAAGCUUGACAAUAAGGGUAUUUAUUAGUUAUGAAUACUAGCUUGUUUUACUGGGGCGGUAAAGGUACAUAAACUAUUAGGUUAUUGAGAGAUCCUUAAUAUGAAGAUAAAACGGAAAAGUUACUCUAGGGAUAACAGUGCAAUGUGUUUGGAGAGAUCUUAUCGAUAAACCCGUUUGCAACCUCGAUGUUGAAUUAAAAUAUCUACGUGAGGUAGAAAGUACGUGAGAGGGUUUGUUCAACCUUU